RNAcentral lists this ribosomal RNA (433 nucleotides) under uncultured bacterium. RNAcentral's name for it is "partial 16S ribosomal RNA". It matches the Rfam family "Bacterial small subunit ribosomal RNA", at positions 29 to 507 of the family's 1533-position model. The record is from RNAcentral.
AACGAACGCUGGCGGCAUGCCUAACACAUGCAAGUCGAACGAGACCUUCGGGUCUAGUGGCGCACGGGUGCGUAACGCGUGGGAACCUGCCCUUAGGUUCGGAAUAACUCCCCGAAAGGGGUGCUAAUACCGGAUAAUGUCUUCGGACCAAAGAUUUAUCGCCGUUGGAUGGGCCCGCGUUGGAUUAGCUAGUUGGUAGGGUAAAAGCCUACCAAGGCGACGAUCCAUAGCUGGUCUGAGAGGAUGAUCAGCCACACUGGGACUGAGACACGGCCCAGACUCCUACGGGAGGCAGCAGUGGGGAAUAUUGGACAAUGGGCGAAAGCCUGAUCCAGCAAGGCCGCGUGAGUGAUGAAGGCCUUAGGGUUGUAAAGCUCUUUUACCCGGGAUGAUAAUGACAGUACCGGGAGAAUAAGCUCCGGCUAACUCCGUG